Molecule: unclassified non-coding RNA, 399 nt
Filed under: Machilus rimosa
Lineage: Eukaryota; Viridiplantae; Streptophyta; Magnoliopsida; Laurales; Lauraceae
Description: partial miscellaneous RNA
Source: RNAcentral
UACUGGCAGGAUCAACCAGGCAACAAUAAAGAAUAAGUAUCCUCUUCCGUGGAUCGACGAGCUCUUCGACCAGCUUCAAGGUGCUCAACACUUUUCGAAGAUAGACUUGAGAUCGGGAUCCCAUCAGCUGCGAGUCAGAGAGCAGGAUGUACAAAGGACAGCGUUUCGUAUCACGCUAUGGGCACUACGAGUUCUUAGUGAUGCCUUUCGGAUUGACGAAUGCGCCAGCAGUGUUCAUGGCUUUGAUGAACAAAAUCUUCGCUCCGUACCUUGACAGCUUCACAGUUGUGUUCAUCGACGACGUGUUGGUCUACUCGAAGUCAAGAGAGGAGCAUGAGCAGCAUUUGAGGACGUCUCUACAGUUGUUGCGCGACAACCAAUUGUACGCAAAGCUCAGCA